RNAcentral lists this ribosomal RNA (261 nucleotides) under Klebsiella pneumoniae. RNAcentral describes it as "partial 23S ribosomal RNA". It matches the Rfam family "Bacterial large subunit ribosomal RNA", at positions 2670 to 2925 of the family's 2925-position model. The record is from RNAcentral. Lineage: Bacteria; Pseudomonadati; Pseudomonadota; Gammaproteobacteria; Enterobacterales; Enterobacteriaceae.
GGCUGCUCCUAGUACGAGAGGACCGGAGUGGACGCAUCACUGGUGUUCGGGUUGUCAUGCCAAUGGCACUGCCCGGUAGCUAAAUGCGGAAGAGAUAAGUGCUGAAAGCAUCUAAGCACGAAACUUGCCCCGAGAUGAGUUCUCCCUGAGACUUUAAGUCUCCUGAAGGAACGUUAAAGACGAUGACGUUGAUAGGCCGGGUGUGUAAGCGCAGCGAUGCGUUGAGCUAACCGGUACUAAUGAACCGUGAGGCUUAACCUU